AGGGAUGUAGCUUAGUUGCUAAAGUGCUUGCCUAGCAACCAUGAAUCUCUGGGUUCGAUCCCCAGCACCGCAU
Molecule: transfer RNA, 73 nt
Filed under: Neotoma lepida (desert woodrat)
Lineage: Eukaryota; Metazoa; Chordata; Mammalia; Rodentia; Cricetidae
Rfam family: tRNA
About the family: Transfer RNA (tRNA) molecules are approximately 80 nucleotides in length. Their secondary structure includes four short double-helical elements and three loops (D, anti-codon, and T loops).
Source: Rfam by way of RNAcentral